This 579-nucleotide ribosomal RNA is filed under the name uncultured bacterium. RNAcentral's name for it is "bacterial SSU rRNA". It matches the Rfam family "Bacterial small subunit ribosomal RNA", at positions 521 to 1100 of the family's 1533-position model. The record is from RNAcentral.
UAAUACGGAGGAUGCAAGCGUUAUCCGGAUUUAUUGGGUUUAAAGGGUGCGUAGGCUGUCUGUCAAGUCAGAGGUGAAAUACCUGAGCCUAACUCAGGAACUGCCUUUGAUACUGGCAGGCUGGAAUACGGAUACCGUGGGAGGAAUGAGUAGUGUAGCGGUGAAAUGCAUAGAUAUUACUCAGAACACCGAUUGCGAAGGCAUCUCACGAAUCCGUCAUUGACGCUGAGGCACGAAAGCGUGGGGAUCAAACAGGAUUAGAUACCCUGGUAGUCCACGCAGUAAACGAUGAUAACUAACCGUCGGCGAUACACAGUCGGUGGCCAAGCGAAAGCGAUAAGUUAUCCACCUGGGGAGUACGUUCGCAAGAAUGAAACUCAAAGGGGAAUUGACGGGGGCCCGCACAAGCGGAGGAACAUGUGGUUUAAUUCGAUGAUACGCGAGGAACCUUACCCGGGCUCGAACGGUACAGGAAGAGAUCCAGAGAUGGUGACGUCCUUCGGGACCUGUAUCGAGGUGCUGCAUGGUUGUCGUCAGCUCGUGCCGUGAGGUGUCGGCUUAAGUGCCAUAACGAGCGCA